This 116-nucleotide non-coding RNA is filed under the name Kutzneria viridogrisea DSM 43870. Its description in RNAcentral is "Kutzneria albida DSM 43870 SAM (S-adenosyl methionine) riboswitch aptamer". It matches the Rfam family "SAM (S-adenosyl methionine) riboswitch aptamer". From Rfam's summary of the family: SAM-IV is a mRNA element that regulates gene expression via direct sensing of S-adenosylmethionine (SAM or AdoMet). SAM-IV riboswitches share conserved nucleotide positions with the previously described SAM-I riboswitches sequence analysis and molecular recognition experiments suggest that SAM-I and SAM-IV riboswitches share similar ligand binding sites, but have different scaffolds. The record is from Rfam by way of RNAcentral. Lineage: Bacteria; Bacillati; Actinomycetota; Actinomycetes; Pseudonocardiales; Pseudonocardiaceae.
GGUCAUGAGUGCCAGCGACAAGCCCCGGCUAGCUGGCCGGCAACCCUCCUACCGCGGUGGGGUGCCCCGGGUGAGGACCAGGUCCGUGGCGAGAACGCGACGGGCAAGCGCGGGCC